Unclassified non-coding RNA from Fukomys damarensis (Damara mole-rat), 81 nucleotides. It matches the Rfam family "Y RNA". Rfam says of the family: Y RNAs are components of the Ro ribonucleoprotein particle (Ro RNP), in association with Ro60 and La proteins. The Y RNAs and Ro60 and La proteins are well conserved, but the function of the Ro RNP is not known. Lineage: Eukaryota; Metazoa; Chordata; Mammalia; Rodentia; Bathyergidae. The record is from Ensembl.
AGUUGGUCCGAAGGUUGUGGGUUGUUGUUAAACUGAUUAAAAUUGUCUCCCCCCACACUCGUACUUGCCUAACUGUGUUUU